AUGGCCUGGACUCCUCUGCUCCUCGUGCUCAUCUCUCACGGCACAGUGUCUGUGUCUGCAGGGUCCCUCUCCCAGCCUGUGCUGACUCAGCCGCCCUCCCUCUCUGCAUCUCCGGGAGCCACAGCCAGACUCACCUGCACCCUGAGCAGUGGCUUCAAUGUUGGCGACUAUGGAAUGGUCUGGUACCAGCAGAAGCCAGCGAGCCCUCCCCGGUACCUGCUGUCCUACAAAUCGGACUCAGACAAGUACCAGGGCGCGGGCGUGCCCAGCCGCUUCUCCGGAUCCAAAGACGCCUCAGCUAACGCGGCUGUUCUGCACAUCACUGGGCUGCAGCCCGAGGACGAGGCUGACUAUCACUGUGACACAUGGGACGGCAACUUCAAGACUCUCACAGUGGUCCAGACCCACAGGGAAGGGAGACAAAACCCUCCUCUCUGCUCCCUGGGCCUGGCCUGGUCCCCCUGCUGGAGGCUCUGA
Molecule: non-coding RNA, 477 nt
Organism: Myotis myotis
Lineage: Eukaryota; Metazoa; Chordata; Mammalia; Chiroptera; Vespertilionidae
Source: the annotation of a RefSeq genome assembly